RNAcentral lists this unclassified non-coding RNA (217 nucleotides) under soil metagenome. Its description in RNAcentral is "partial contains 5.8S ribosomal RNA, internal transcribed spacer 2, and large subunit ribosomal RNA". The record is from RNAcentral.
AAGACUAUAGACCUGCGGAGUACCUGCGGAGGGAUCAUUACAAGUGACCCCGGUCUAACCACCGGGAUGUUCAUAACCCUUUGUUGUCCGACUCUGUUGCCUCCGGGGCGACCCUGCCUUCGGGCGGGGGCUCCGGGUGGACACUUCAAACUCUUGCGUAACUUUGCAGUCUGAGUAAACUUAAUUAAUAAAUUAAAACUUUCAACAACGGAUCUCU